UCUCCCUCUCUCACUUUCCACCCCAACCUAGGGUUGCCGCCGCCGCCGCCGCCCCCGCCCCCAUCGCUUCUCUAGCGCUGCCCAUCAGAGGACGGCCGUUUCUCCGCUGCUUCUUCUCUCGCCCUGCUCCAUCCCGACCAGCGCCACCGCCGCCCCUUUUCUCUCGUCUACGGGCGAGCCGUCACCCGUGAGGUGAGACGUCGUCUCCCGGCCAGGACAUAGCGGCAGAGAGGAGCAAGGAAGCAGCAGGGGAAGUCCAAUUGGAAAAGUUAGUGGCGCUACAGAUUUCUUGCUCCCUUGGUCGACGGGGAUGCGGUUUUCGUUGGUGGUGGUGGGAGGGGAACAUGCGUGGCGGUGACGGGAGGACCAUCAGAAGAAGAGGAGGAUGGGGAACAGGGGAGGAGGCCAAGCGGGGAGGAGAGACGUGAAGCAUUCAUUUGCUGCCGUUUCUCCAGGUAAUCUGAUUCUCCGUCAUGUUUGCCGGAGAUUAAACUCCAACGAGUACCAUUGUUUAACUUUGCUUCGCCAUCGUUUUCACGAUGUGAUUCUGAAAUUUUUAGUUGAUGUUUGCAGAUCCAGAGCAAAUAUGGGAGCUCCAGCAAGGCCUUGGUGAGUAGACAAGAUGCCUCUGUCUGCUUGCUCAGCCUCUCUAUUGUGUUGAUUGGGCAUCUUAGGAUUUUAUUUGGGCAACUUGGCUAACCGGGUCCCUGACUGAUUUCAGCAAUCAGCAUUACUAGGUCCACUGUGCCUGAUAAAGAAGCGAUUGUGGUCAUUCAAUUUUAUUUGCAUACGUAUUACGUAAUUACAUACAUAGCCAUCGCAUCCCUUGAUUUUAGACUGAUAUUCAUGGAUUUGUUGGCGUGCUUGCUUGUGUUUUGUGCUCUGAAAAACAUGCUUGUGCUGUGCAGGUUCAGAACCAGUCCAUAUGCGAGACAAUAUUUGAGAGGGUGUCUGAUUUCAUUGGACCUUUUUGCAUUGUUUCCCAAAAAGGAUGAGCCUAGAGGCACGAGACCAUUAUAAUUCAAUCCAUUAUUUAAUUUUACUUUUUGAAAAGGUAGAGUAUAUUGUGUUUGAUAUGCUUUCUGGUUUUAAUUAACAGAAAGGGAUAUGUGACGUUUUGUUUACUCUUCUGUGUGUAACUUCAGAGUAAAACUGUUGUUUUGUGCACUUCCUUUACCUCCUCUUUCCAGCUACCAAGUUUCCUAAUUUUUUAAUGGAAGCCUUAUCCUAAAUAAGAAUUCAAUUUUGUUGCUUGAGAUUUUGACUCGAUCCUGUCCUGCUUUGGAUAAAAUAUUUACCAAGAAUCUGUACUUGCCAGUCUAUUUGUUGAAUAUGGAGAUUAACAAUGUAUUGUUGUCUCACCUAUAUACCCAUUGUUCAUUUUCUUCUUUGGAGGUUCUGAUGUUGCAACCAAUGAGCCUUUGCUCAGGAAAGAUGCUUCUAAGCCAUCUGAUAUGAGCGAUGUUGCACCACAAUGUUCUGUACAUUCAGGUGAACAUCUUUGUUCAGUUUUUUUACUGUCAUUUUGAUUCAAGUAUGUGCAGAAUUUAGUGUAGAUGUCUCGUAUGAAACAGUUACUAAUGUCCAGUACAUCGAGGCUGCAUGAAACCCAUGUUCUCAGGUUAAAUUGCAUGUUGUAGUCCACCUCACCCUCCUUCACUCGUGCCGGCAUGCCGCCCUCCAUGGUAGAAAUUCCUGUAGCGAGCACCAUCUCAUAUGCUGCUGCUCACAGACCCAGUAUCCUCAUGGCAUGUCAACAUCACCGAGGUAUUCUAUCUCCGGUGAACCUGAUUGGGGCAAGUUUUCACUACUGCUGGAUUGCUACCUGCGUUCCUUUUUUUUUUGCUUUUGGAUUCAUUGUAAUGAAUCGUCUCACAUGGUUAUGCUCUAUGGGUGAGUCGUCAAUAGUUGUACCAUAAUAUUUCUGUGUCUACGAAGAUGACCUUUAUCUUUGUUUCUAGAUUGGUUGUUUUGAGCUACUAACAGAUCCUAAUAUCAUACUAUAUCUCAACUACCAUCAGUACCUCAAAUUGCUCUGGCCUAGCACACGCUCAGUUGAUGUACAUAAGCGAAACUAGGGACCAAAUGAGAGAACCAAAUGUUCUGAACCAAGACAGGAGCGCACAGGAACAACUCAAGAGGAGGCACACCUAAUUAUAGUCUCACCAACGCAUGGCCUCGCACAAACAUGGUUCCACAAAUCACAUCCCCUAGAGCUCUUGGAGUAUAACUUUCCCCAAUGGUGUCGGGAUACGAGUAUGGUCUUGCCAUCGCUGAGUUGAGGAUGAUCAGUUCGUCCGAAUUUUGCCAUUCUUCGUGGCCGUAGUUCUCAUUCGUUGUGUUAAUGCGUGAGAUGUAUAUGCUGCGUGCACCUGUUUUUUCAUGUAUCUUCGAUCCCCGCUCUAACAACUUUUUGUGCUGAUGGCUUCAAUUAUAUGCGAUACAAAAGGCACACAUUACUUGUUUGCUCAAAUGACUCAAAGAAAAUACCCCCUCACACAUUACUUGUUUGCUCAAAUGACUCAAAGAAAAUACCCCCUCCUUUUUAUAAUAUACAUUUCCUUGACAUCCAUCCCAAAAAACGUAAGCACCCAUGCAAUUUGAGCAAGUUCUGUGGGGAAUCACCACAUUGUACAUCUGCUUAUAUUUCAGUUGAACCCUUUUGUGCAAGUUGUUCUUUAUUCUGCCAGUUCGUAAAUGUGGAAGACUGGCAGCCGAUGGCUCAGAUAGAUCCUUUAGUGGGGUCAUUUUCUUCAAUCCACUUUACCUAAUGAAUUAGAUUAUUCUUAUAAGAGAAUUGCUAAUUUCGAUCCAAGUGCACAAACAUUGUCCAAUUUCCAUUGCCAUGUCUUUGUUGUUUGUUUAAUUUGUGCAGAGAAGCAUGCAGGAAGAAUUGCAAUACUUCACCACUACCCUUGAUCUUUACUAAAAAUAUAAUGUGCCAUCGACUCAUUAGGUAUAUAGCGCAUUUUUUUUCUUUCAAGAAUGAUUGGUUUCUUUUGGUGGCAUUAGCACCUGAAAAAUUGUUAUUCAAAUUAGCUUAGUUUCCAUAUGAAGAAAACAAACUUAAAACCACUCGAAUAGUAUCUAUAUUCCUGCUAAACUGUGUCAUAGAAAUUUGUCUCUUUUGUUAUAAUUUGGAUUGGAAUUGCAGGAAAUGCUGGCGAUUUGAGAUAUCUUGAUCUCCAACAGUAAAUAGUAUGCAUCAAGUGAUGUCAUUGAUACUAUCAAACAGGCUUUUGGUUGUUCACCGCACGCAGAUCAUCUGCAAGAAGGGUUCAGUUCAGGAACUAAG
This 3295-nucleotide long non-coding RNA is filed under the name Triticum aestivum (bread wheat). RNAcentral's name for it is "long non-coding RNA (TAES_LNC007254)". The record is from RNAcentral. Lineage: Eukaryota; Viridiplantae; Streptophyta; Magnoliopsida; Poales; Poaceae.